AACUUGCCUUUGUUUUUUUCUUAAACUGUGAAUGCACAGCGUUCUAGAACACAACUACUAACUAGCUCGGCCUGGUACCACGGAUUUGUGCUACGGCACCAGGAGAGCAAAAUCAACACAGAAAAAAGCAAGAAAACUCAGAGAAAAAAUAAAACAAAUCUACAAUGAACACAUCAGUAUGUAUAUUUCUACAAACUUGUGUGAGAAGUUCUGUAAGAUCAAGUCCUAAAAGCAGAAUUGCUGGCUCAAAGGCAAAAAAAAAAAAAAAAAAGUAAAUUUAUUGAUGUGCCUACCAACGUGUUCUGAGGCUAUGAGGAAGCCAUAAAAGUCCUACCCUGAAUUACAGUCCAUCCUGGAUUCCAGGCAAGAAUAUAUACCUUCAGAUUUGGUGAG
Molecule: long non-coding RNA, 393 nt
Filed under: Homo sapiens (human)
Lineage: Eukaryota; Metazoa; Chordata; Mammalia; Primates; Hominidae
Description: HSALNT0302026
Source: RNAcentral